GGAUUAGAUACCCUGGUAGUCCACGCUGUAAACGAUGGAUACUAGAUGUUCGGAGUGUUAACCCUCUGAGUAUCGCAGCUAACGCAUUAAGUAUCCCGCCUGGGGAGUACAGUCGCAAGGCCGAAACUCAAAGGAAUUGACGGGGGCCCGCACAAGCGGUGGAGUAUGUGGUUUAAUUCGAAGCAACGCGCAGAACCUUACCUGGAUUUGACAUCCCGAGACAACCUCAGAGAUGAGGCUUCCUCUUCGGAGGCUCGGUGACAGGUGCUGCAUGGCUGUCGUCAGCUCGUGUCG
Molecule: ribosomal RNA, 294 nt
Filed under: uncultured bacterium
Lineage: Bacteria
Description: partial 16S ribosomal RNA
Rfam family: Bacterial small subunit ribosomal RNA
Source: RNAcentral